RNAcentral lists this transfer RNA (73 nucleotides) under Stegodyphus mimosarum. It matches the Rfam family "tRNA". Rfam says of the family: Transfer RNA (tRNA) molecules are approximately 80 nucleotides in length. Their secondary structure includes four short double-helical elements and three loops (D, anti-codon, and T loops). The record is from Rfam by way of RNAcentral. Lineage: Eukaryota; Metazoa; Arthropoda; Arachnida; Araneae; Eresidae.
GCCUUCGUGGUGUAAUGGUCAUCACAUUCGGCGCGUAUUCAUAAGGUCCUGGGUUCGAGUCCCUGCGAAGACA